UACGUAGGGUGCAAGCGUUGUCCGGAAUUAUUGGGCGUAAAGAGCUCGUAGGCGGUCUGUCGCGUCUGCUGUGAAAACUCAGGGCUUAACCCUGAGCUUGCAGUGGGUACGGGCAGACUAGAGUGCGGUAGGGGAGACUGGAAUUCCUGGUGUAGCGGUGGAAUGCGCAGAUAUCAGGAGGGAACACCAAUGGCGAAGGCAGAUCUCUGGGCCGUAACUGACGCU
RNAcentral lists this ribosomal RNA (225 nucleotides) under uncultured bacterium. Its description in RNAcentral is "partial 16S ribosomal RNA". It matches the Rfam family "Bacterial small subunit ribosomal RNA", at positions 524 to 747 of the family's 1533-position model. The record is from RNAcentral.